AAGCUUGUGAACCAGCAAAGUGAAAUGCAGAACCAACAAAGUGAAAUGCAAGAUCUCCUUAAAUCUUUGAAAGCACAGCUGCAAGCCAACAAGCAAGUCGAUGAAGGCACAUCUGAACGUACUGCUUGGUAAGCAAUUCUAAACUAUAUAUACUUGUCUAAAUAGAUAUAAUGGCUGCUAUGGUUUAAGUUAACAUAAGUUAUUGAAAAUUAGUUAUUGGUAGGGUACAAUAUUAACUUGUAAUAUCAAGACUGAGGAUAUUAGUGAAUGCUUGUUACUUUUGUUGUUUAUUUAGCAAUUAGAGACUGUUUUGCUUUUGUCACCUGAAUUGCAAUGUUGCUAUCCUUUGACAUCUACAUAUUAAAACAAAGAAGUUUAGAAUGGCGUAACAUAAAACUUACAAUCCAGAUAAAACUUACAGCUUGCUUUCAAAGUCUUCUAUGCACCAUUUAAUGGCGUAACAUAAAACUUACAAUCCAGAUAAAAAAUAAAUUCAGAUUUCGUCCUUAAAUUUUUGUCCAACCGGUACUGCUUUUGUUUAUCAGUUCUUUCCUUCUCCUUCUCCUUUAUUUUCCCUUAAAUUUAUUGUGUUAAUAUCAAUAUUAUCUCUGCUAUGAAGAUGUUUCGUUGCUUUUUUCAUUUUCACUGGAUCUACUGGAAUUUGUUUAAUCUGCUGUUACACCAAGCCUGCGGUAGCAUAUUUCUGCAUCUAUUUGCACUUAAUGCGGGUGAAAUGUAACUUUAUUUCACAUGUUUGUUUUCAUUUUUAUUUUUACUGGAGUUGUCCGAAUUGCAAUUUUGUGUUUUUCGCCCCCUCGCAUGGCAAGAGUUUGAGUAGAACAUUCAUAAAUCAUAAUUCUCUGUCAAUUCUGCAGCCGCAUAUGUAGCUUGACACGUUUGCAUGACUUACUGAUGAUUUAAAGCUACUGCUUGGACAAAUCUAGAAGAACUUUAAACUUAUGGAACAAUAACGUUGGUAUUGAUUAAUGAAUAUGAUACGGUGUUUAAUCCCGGAAUUAAAUACAUUAGCUGCAGGCAUAUUCUCUAUUCUGAUGUAAAUUACUUCCUCGACAUGUAAAGAAGCUUAAACUGAUAUACUGAUGUCUUUAUUUGCACUGAUUCCUGUUUUGCGGCCCAAAUGAAGGAGAGGAAGUUUACUAAAACUUUUGAACCAAAUUCCCAGAACCACACACACACAUAAUAUUUAAUAACUCGUUAGUGUUUUUAUGCACUGCUUAUUCUUAACUGAUCUUAAAAAGCAUUUUCUCUUUGUGACCAUGAACUUUCUUUUUGUACUGUUAGUCAUUUAUUUUAUAUUCUGUAUCCUGUAUCCUAUAUAUUCAGAUUUCAAGGUCUUCUAUGCACCAUUUAAAUUUCUCUAUCAUCUACUAAUAACUUUACUACUUUAUUGCAGAUAUAUUGCUCAUUUUGGAGGUUUCGAAGAAGAUUAGUAGUACGGCUUACAUGUCGACUCAAAAACUGUGGUUAUAGUGCUGUCUUAAGUUUAGAAAAUGUUUCGGUAGCACAGAAAAUGUUUUGGGACUUGGAAUAUGUUUUUUAGCGCAGCCUUGACUUAUGAGUAGUAUUUGUUCCACUGAAACUUAUGAAAAUAUUUGUACUAUGAUGUUGCACUUAUUUAUGAUAUUUGAAUAUUUAAUAUGUUA
This 1664-nucleotide long non-coding RNA is filed under the name Coffea arabica (coffee). RNAcentral describes it as "long non-coding RNA (CARA_LNC004583)". The record is from RNAcentral. Lineage: Eukaryota; Viridiplantae; Streptophyta; Magnoliopsida; Gentianales; Rubiaceae.